This 249-nucleotide long non-coding RNA is filed under the name Cottoperca gobio. Its description in RNAcentral is "lncRNA (ENSCGOG00000009487.1)". Lineage: Eukaryota; Metazoa; Chordata; Actinopteri; Perciformes; Bovichtidae. The record is from RNAcentral.
GACGCUCAGGACGCACAGGAGGCAACACUCAUUUAUCCUGGAGUUCUUUUAAGGCGAGAAGAAGAGGGAAAAAGACUCGAAACUGUUCACUUGAAAGGCUCUUGUCGUCCCACCUUCUGUGGAGCUGUCGGCGCUCUUCCUGACAUCCGGCAUUCAUUGGAGCGGUGGCAGUCACACAGGGCUCCCUGAUCAGUGCCGACCAGGAGCGGAGCUGAAGCUUAACGGGGCUAAGCACGCUGUCCAAGAAAC